CGGAACACGUACGCAACCUUCCCAAAACUGGUGAAUAGCCCUCCGAAAGGAGGAUUAAUACACCGUACCAUAAAGGAGAGGCAUCUUUCUUUUAUUAUAGAUAGCAAUAUCGGUUUUGGAUGGGCGUGCGCCUGAUUAGGUAGUUGGCGGGGUAACGGCCCACCAAGCCUCCGAUCAGUAACUGGUGUGAGAGCACGACCAGUCACACGGGCACUGAGACACGGGCCCGACUCCUACGGGAGGCAGCAGUAAGGAAUAUUGGUCAAUGGACGGAAGUCUGAACCAGCCAUGCCGCGUGAAGGAUGAAGGCCCUCUGGGUUGUAAACUUCUUUUAUCUGGGACGAAAAAAGGGGAUUCUUCCUCACUUGACGGUACCAGAGGAAUAAGCACCGGCUAACUCCGUGCCAGCAGCCGCGGUAAUACGGAGGGUGCAAGCGUUAUCCGGAUUUACUGGGUUUAAAGGGUGCGUAGGUGGGUAGGAAAGUCAGUGGUGAAAUCUUCAAGCUUAACUUGGAAACUGCCAUUGAUACUAUCUAUCUUGAAUACUUUGGAGGUAAGCGGAAUAUGUCAUGUAGCGGUGAAAUGCUUAGAUAUGACAUAGAACACCAAUUGGCGAGGCAGCUUACUACACAGUUAUUGACACUGAGGCACGAAAGCGUGGGGAUCAAACAGGAUUAGAUACCCUGG
This 687-nucleotide ribosomal RNA is filed under the name uncultured bacterium. Its description in RNAcentral is "bacterial SSU rRNA". It matches the Rfam family "Bacterial small subunit ribosomal RNA", at positions 109 to 790 of the family's 1533-position model. The record is from RNAcentral.